UUUCUUAGAGAAUGGGAUAUUAAUUUCAAGUUUUAGUGAAAAGUAUAGGAUAUUAAUUUCAAGUGCCUUAGAGAAUGGGAUAUUAAUUCCAGGUUUCUUAACCAUCUCUAAGAACUUAUCAAAUUGUUUUUCAUGCUGAUCCUUCUUCUUGUUUGUUGGAGGAUAUGGGAGUUUAAUGGUUGGUUUUGGCUCUUUUAGUUUUUUCUCAACCACUUUUUGUGUGACUUCU
Molecule: long non-coding RNA, 229 nt
Filed under: Lathyrus oleraceus (garden pea)
Lineage: Eukaryota; Viridiplantae; Streptophyta; Magnoliopsida; Fabales; Fabaceae
Description: Pisum sativum (pea) long non-coding RNA (PSAT_LNC017080)
Source: RNAcentral